Molecule: ribosomal RNA, 2316 nt
Filed under: Rhizobium sp. JGI 0001002-E20
Lineage: Bacteria; Pseudomonadati; Pseudomonadota; Alphaproteobacteria; Hyphomicrobiales; Rhizobiaceae
Also listed under: 1 other name
Description: bacterial LSU rRNA
Rfam family: Bacterial large subunit ribosomal RNA
Source: RNAcentral
GAUAGCGAACAAGUACCGUGAGGGAAAGGUGAAAAGCACCCCGACAAGGGGAGUGAAAUAGAACCUGAAACCGGAUGCCUACAAACAGUCGGAGCCCGCAAGGGUGACGGCGUACCUUUUGUAUAAUGGGUCAACGACUUAGUGUAACAAGCAAGCUUAAGCCGGUAGGUGUAGGCGAAGCGAAAGCGAGUCUGAAUAGGGCGAUUUAGUUUGUUGCAUUAGACCCGAAACCGAGUGAUCUAGCCAUGAGCAGGUUGAAGGUUGGGUAACACCAACUGGAGGACCGAACCCGCAUCUGUUGCAAUAGAUUGGGAUGACUUGUGGCUAGGGGUGAAAGGCCAAUCAAACUCGGAAAUAGCUGGUUCUCCGCGAAAUCUAUUUAGGUAGAGCGUCGAGCGAAUACCCCCGGGGGUAGAGCACUGGAUGGGCUAUGGGGACUCACCGUCUUACUGAUCCUAACCAAACUCCGAAUACCGGGGAGUACUACUCGGCAGACACACGGCGGGUGCUAACGUCCGUCGUGAAAAGGGCAACAACCCUAACCUCCAGCUAAGGUCCCCAAGUCAUGGCUAAGUGGGAAAGGAUGUGAGGAUCCCAAAACAACCAGGAUGUUGGCUUAGAAGCAGCCAUCAUUUAAAGAAAGCGUAACAGCUCACUGGUCUAAAUAAGGGUCUUUGCGCCGAAAAUGUAACGGGGCUGAAGCCAUGCACCGAAGCUGAGGAUUUGCGAGCAAUCGCAAGUGGUAGCGGAGCGUUCCGUAAGCUGAUGAAGGGAGACCUGUGAGGGCUCCUGGAGGUAUCGGAAGUGCGAAUGUUGACAUGAGUAACGAUAAAGAGGGUGAGAGACCCUCUCGCCGAAAGACCAAGGGUUCCUGCUUAAAGUUAAUCUGAGCAGGGUUAGCCGGCCCCUAAGGCGAGGCAGAAAUGCGUAGUCGAUGGGAACCACGUUAAUAUUCGUGGGCCUGGUGGUAGUGACGGAUUGCACAAGUUGUUCUGGUUUAUUGGAUUAUCAGGGCAGCGGAGCGGUUCCAGGAAAUAGCUCCACCGUAUAGACCGUACCCGAAACCGACACAGGUGGUCAGGUAGAGUAUACCAAGGCGCUUGAGAGAACUAUGUUGAAGGAACUCGGCAAAUUGCACGCGUAACUUCGGAAGAAGCGUGACCCCAUUUUACGCAAGUAUGAUGGGGUGGCACAGACCAGGGGGUAGCGACUGUUUAUCAAAAACACAGGGCUCUGCGAAGUCGCAAGACGACGUAUAGGGUCUGACGCCUGCCCGGUGCUGGAAGGUUAAGAGGAGAGGUGCAAGCUUUGAAUCGAAGCCCCAGUAAACGGCGGCCGUAACUAUAACGGUCCUAAGGUAGCGAAAUUCCUUGUCGGGUAAGUUCCGACCUGCACGAAUGGCGUAACGACUUCCCCGCUGUCUCCAACAUAGACUCAGUGAAAUUGAAUUCCCCGUGAAGAUGCGGGGUUCCUGCGGUCAGACGGAAAGACCCCGUGCACCUUUACUAUAGCUUUACACUGGCAUUCGUGUCGGCAUGUGUAGGAUAGGUGGUAGGCUUUGAAGCGGGGACGCCAGUUUCCGUGGAGCCAUCCUUGAAAUACCACCCUUAUCGUCAUGGAUGUCUAACCGCGGCCCGUCAUCCGGGUCCGGGACAGUGUAUGGUGGGUAGUUUGACUGGGGCGGUCGCCUCCGAAAGAGUAACGGAGGCGCGCGAUGGUGGGCUCAGACCGGUCGGAAAUCGGUCGUCGAGUGCAAUGGCAUAAGCCCGCCUGACUGCGAGACUGACAAGUCGAGCAGAGACGAAAGUCGGUCAUAGUGAUCCGGUGGUCCCGCGUGGAAGGGCCAUCGCUCAACGGAUAAAAGGUACGCCGGGGAUAACAGGCUGAUGACCCCCAAGAGUCCAUAUCGACGGGGUUGUUUGGCACCUCGAUGUCGGCUCAUCGCAUCCUGGGGCUGGAGCAGGUCCCAAGGGUUUGGCUGUUCGCCAAUUAAAGCGGUACGUGAGCUGGGUUCAGAACGUCGUGAGACAGUUCGGUCCCUAUCUGCCGUGGGUGUAGGAAUAUUGACAGGAUCUGUCCCUAGUACGAGAGGACCGGGAUGGACAUAUCUCUGGUGGACCUGUUGUCCUGCCAAGGGCAUAGCAGGGUAGCUAUAUAUGGACGGGAUAACCGCUGAAGGCAUCUAAGCGGGAAACCCACCUGAAAACGAGUAUUCCCUAUCAGAGCCGUGGAAGACGACCACGUUGAUAGGCCGGGUGUGGAAGUGCGGCAACGCAUGAAGCUUACCGGUACUAAUAGCUCGAUUGGCUUGAUCGU